Molecule: ribosomal RNA, 497 nt
Filed under: uncultured bacterium
Lineage: Bacteria
Description: partial 16S ribosomal RNA
Rfam family: Bacterial small subunit ribosomal RNA
Source: RNAcentral
GAUGAACGCUGGCGGCGUGCCUAAUACAUGCAAGUCGAGCGAACGGACGAGAAGCUUGCUCCUCUGAUGUUAGCGGCGGACGGGUGAGUAACACGUGGAUAACCUACCUAUAAGACUGGGAUAACUUCGGGAAACCGGAGCUAGUACCGGAUGAUAUUUUGAACCGCAUGGUUCAAAAGUGAAAGACGGUCUUGCUGUCACUUAUAGAUGGAUCCGCGCUGCAUUAGCUAGUUGGUAAGGUAACGGCUUACCAAGGCAACGAUGCAUAGCCGACCUGAGAGGGUGAUCGGCCACACUGGAACUGAGCCACGGUCCAGACUCCUACGGGAGGCAGCAGUAGGGAAUCUUCCGCAAUGGGCGAAAGCCUGACGGAGCAACGCCGCGUGAGUGAUGAAGGUCUUCGGAUCGUAAAACUCUGUUAUUAGGGAAGAACAUAUGUGUAAGUAACUGUGCACAUCUUGACGGUACCUAAUCAGAAAGCCACGGCUAACUACGUG